UUAAUUAAUACGUAGUACUCGGACGGCACGUUUAAUAUCAGGGAUUUUAGGACGUCUGGCGGGCACACACCAGCGAGUUGCCGGUGGCCUAAGCGGUCGGCCCGCCAAAGCAACACGAGUAAUGUAAACAGGGUGGGAGAUCUACCCCGAAGGGCAUGAGCUCGGUAAUGAUCCUUCCGCAGGUUCACCUAGUGACUGUUAGUAAGGCUCACUUAUAAGUAGGACGGGACGUGUACGUACCUACGGAAA
This 249-nucleotide unclassified non-coding RNA is filed under the name uncultured fungus. RNAcentral describes it as "sequence contains ITS1". Lineage: Eukaryota; Fungi. The record is from RNAcentral.